UUUUUUUUAUUAGUAAAAAUAUUAUAUAUAUAUAAAUCAACACGAGAAACUAAGUACACUGAACGUAUACAAGAAAACGCCUAGCUCAUACAAGAGAGCCCCUAAUGACCUAAAAAUCCCAUAAAACCUACCCAAAAUACACUAACCCGAAUUGGACACACCUACCCAACCCCAACCCCUUGAUUCCAUAAAACUAAUCCUCUACCCGAACAUCCCACAAUGAGAUCGUCUUCAUAAUGCCCUCCCUUUAUUCUUCCCUCGACUUGAGCUAUCUCCCUUAGCAUCGUAGUUGAUUGAACAUAGAAGACGCUUUAAUUCCCUGCUUUUCUUAAAAUUUAAAACUUAUAGGUUCCUUUGGUG
Molecule: long non-coding RNA, 360 nt
Organism: Juglans microcarpa x Juglans regia
Lineage: Eukaryota; Viridiplantae; Streptophyta; Magnoliopsida; Fagales; Juglandaceae
Exons: 4
Source: RefSeq, a predicted model, not a curated record